Molecule: long non-coding RNA, 918 nt
Organism: Miniopterus natalensis
Lineage: Eukaryota; Metazoa; Chordata; Mammalia; Chiroptera; Miniopteridae
Source: RefSeq, a predicted model, not a curated record
UUCGUCUAAUCGAUGCAGAGCAUUCCGUACUCAGAGGGCUCCUAAAUGCUGCUUGUAGUGAUCACUCAGCGCCAGCCCUCCGACACAGGACACAGAAAGCAAAGGCGGUGCUGCCACCAACAGGAGAAGGGAAGUCCCAGGAACUCCACUGAAACCCCAGUUCUCCAUGUUCUCGACUUAGAACUCUUGUUAAAUAAAUUAAGGCAAACAAACAAGCAAAGGUUUUUUUUAAAAAGUUCAGCCGAGAAAAUAUGGAACUUGCUUCCUUUCAAAAUACAGAAAAGUAAAAGCAGAGGAGAAAGAGCCAGCAGAAAAGAGAUUGACAGUAAAGAAGGGAAGAAAUAAUUGACCAAACAAGUUCCCUGAGGGUCUGGAAAAGAGAAUUGAAAACAAAGGUAGAACAGAAAUCGGAACACUUUCCUUCUGCUAAAUGGAGAGAAGAUGGGAAAGCAAGGAGCAAAGACAGCCAUAGGAGCACCAUCUGUGGACCCCAAGUCUCAAGACUUCACAAGAUUCCUCCAGGGCAGGGGAGGCCUGCUCCUUUUCUCGGCCCUACCUGCCACGUUGAGUUGAGCUCCUCUGACACUGACAGAUGGUGCUGGUGUCCUGGAGACUCCCUGAGAGGAAAGGAAAAGUCAGCCAGGAACCCCAAAAUGUGAAACCUGGACUCAAGGAGCAUCGCUGGUUGCAGCAGAGGCAGGAGCCGAGGGGAAGGCUCAGAGGCCUCCCUCGCCCCUUGGCUGAGGCCUCAAGGCAGAGCCGGCCGCCACCCCACCCCUCACCCCCGUUGGCUUCUGAGCACCUCUCCUGCCCUGGGGCUCUGAGAUACGCAGAACCUCGGCUGAUGCAAAAUAGUCAGCCCUUAACCCUCCCAGUCUUAUGCCACAUCAUUCCAGAGAAACAGAAAAGUACUCAUCG